AGUGAACGCUGGCGGUAGGCCUAACACAUGCAAGUCGAACGGCAGCACAGUAAGAGCUUGCUCUUACGGGUGGCGAGUGGCGGACGGGUGAGGAAUACAUCGGAAUCUACUUUUUCGUGGGGGAUAACGUAGGGAAACUUACGCUAAUACCGCAUACGACCUACGGGUGAAAGCCGGGGAUCUUCGGACCUUGCGCGAUUGAAUGAGCCGAUGUCGGAUUAGCUAGUUGGCGGGGUAAAGGCCCACCAAGGCGACGAUCCGUAGCUGGUCUGAGAGGAUGAUCAGCCACACUGGAACUGAGACACGGUCCAGACUCCUACGGGAGGCAGCAGUGGGGAAUAUUGGACAAUGGGCGCAAGCCUGAUCCAGCCAUACCGCGUGGGUGAAGAAGGCCUUCGGGUUGUAAAGCCCUUUUGUUGGGAAAGAAAAGCAGCAGGUUAAUACCCCGCUGUUCCGACGGUACCCAAAGAAUAAGCACCGGCUAACUUCGUG
This 492-nucleotide ribosomal RNA is filed under the name uncultured bacterium. Its description in RNAcentral is "partial 16S ribosomal RNA". It matches the Rfam family "Bacterial small subunit ribosomal RNA", at positions 29 to 507 of the family's 1533-position model. The record is from RNAcentral.